RNAcentral lists this ribosomal RNA (1088 nucleotides) under Staphylococcus pseudintermedius. RNAcentral describes it as "bacterial SSU rRNA". It matches the Rfam family "Bacterial small subunit ribosomal RNA", at positions 160 to 1234 of the family's 1533-position model. Lineage: Bacteria; Bacillati; Bacillota; Bacilli; Caryophanales; Staphylococcaceae. The record is from RNAcentral.
GGGCUAAUGCCGGAUAACAUGUUGAACCGCAUGGUUCUACAGUGAAAGACGGUCUUGCUGUCACUUAUAGAUGGACCCGCGCCGUAUUAGCUAGUUGGUGGGGUAACGGCCUACCAAGGCGACGAUACGUAGCCGACCUGAGAGGGUGAUCGGCCACACUGGAACUGAGACACGGUCCAGACUCCUACGGGAGGCAGCAGUAGGGAAUCUUCCGCAAUGGGCGAAAGCCUGACGGAGCAACGCCGCGUGAGUGAUGAAGGUCUUCGGAUCGUAAAGCUCUGUUGUUAGGGAAGAACAAAUGUGUAAGUAACUGUGCACAUCUUGACGGUACCUAACCAGAAAGCCACGGCUAACUACGUGCCAGCAGCCGCGGUAAUACGUAGGUGGCAAGCGUUAUCCGGAAUUAUUGGGCGUAAAGCGCGCGUAGGCGGUUUUUUAAGUCUGAUGUGAAAGCCCACGGCUCAACCGUGGAGGGUCAUUGGAAACUGGAAAACUUGAGUGCAGAAGAGGAAAGUGGAAUUCCAUGUGUAGCGGUGAAAUGCGCAGAGAUAUGGAGGAACACCAGUGGCGAAGGCGGCUUUCUGGUCUGCAACUGACGCUGAUGUGCGAAAGCGUGGGGAUCAAACAGGAUUAGAUACCCUGGUAGUCCACGCCGUAAACGAUGAGUGCUAAGUGUUAGGGGGUUUCCGCCCCUUAGUGCUGCAGCUAACGCAUUAAGCACUCCGCCUGGGGAGUACGGUCGCAAGACUGAAACUCAAAGGAAUUGACGGGGACCCGCACAAGCGGUGGAGCAUGUGGUUUAAUUCGAAGCAACGCGAAGAACCUUACCAAAUCUUGACAUCCUUUGACCGCUCUAGAGAUAGAGUUUUCCUCUUCGGAGGACAAAGUGACAGGUGGUGCAUGGUUGUCGUCAGCUCGUGUCGUGAGAUGUUGGGUUAAGUCCCGCAACGAGCGCAACCCUUGAACUUAGUUGCCAUCAUUCAGUUGGGCACUCUAAGUUGACUGCCGGUGACAAACCGGAGGAAGGUGGGGAUGACGUCAAAUCAUCAUGCCCCUUAUGAUUUGGGCUACACACGUGCUACAAUGGA